Molecule: ribosomal RNA, 253 nt
Filed under: uncultured bacterium
Lineage: Bacteria
Description: partial 16S ribosomal RNA
Rfam family: Bacterial small subunit ribosomal RNA
Source: RNAcentral
GACAGAGGGUGCAAGCGUUGUUCGGAAUUACUGGGCGUAAAGCGCGCGUAGGUGGCUUCGUGUGUCGGUUGUGAAAUCCCUUGGCUCAACCAAGGAAGUGCGCCCGAAACUGCGGAGCUCGAGUUUGGGAGAGGAUGGUAGAAUUCUCUGUGUAGAGGUGAAAUUCGUAGAUACUGGGAGGAACACCGGUGGCGAAGGCGACCAUCUGGACCAACACUGACACUGAUGUGCGAAAGCGUGGGUAGCAAACAGG